Molecule: ribosomal RNA, 253 nt
Filed under: uncultured bacterium
Lineage: Bacteria
Description: partial 16S ribosomal RNA
Rfam family: Bacterial small subunit ribosomal RNA
Source: RNAcentral
UACGUAGGGGGCAAGCGUUGUCCGGAUUUAUUGGGCGUAAAGCGCUCGCAGGUGGUUCGAUGCGUCGUGCGUGAAAGACCCCGGCUCAACUGGGGAGUGUCGUGCGAUACGGUCGGACUGGAGGCCAGUAGGGGGAUGCGGAAUUCCAGGUGUAGCGGUGAAAUGCGUAGAUAUCUGGAGGAACACCCAGGGGGAAACCAGCGGACUGGGCAUUGGCUGACGCUCAAGUGCGACAGCGUGGGGAGCGAACCGG